GGGCUUGUCGCUGGUUGGAUGGUGUUUAUGACAGUACAGCUCAAGAAAAAUAAACGCGUAAGCUCUAUGGCUGCAAGAACAUCACCCAGGAUCAUCAGACCUGCAGAGGGCGUCUCAGACCAAUUCAAGCAAGCAUCGACAGAAUGCUAGAUGGCAGAGGAAAUGGGAACUAAACACUUACGUCCCACAGCCGUGAUCCACUUAUUUCGCUGCCAAAUAAAGCAGGGACAAGUAGA
This is a long non-coding RNA of Rhipicephalus microplus (southern cattle tick), 236 nucleotides long. RefSeq lists it as uncharacterized. NCBI's taxonomy places the organism in Eukaryota, Metazoa, Arthropoda, Arachnida, Ixodida, Ixodidae. The record is from RefSeq and is a predicted model, not a curated record.